This 441-nucleotide ribosomal RNA is filed under the name Triticum aestivum (bread wheat). RNAcentral's name for it is "partial small subunit ribosomal RNA". The record is from RNAcentral. Lineage: Eukaryota; Viridiplantae; Streptophyta; Magnoliopsida; Poales; Poaceae.
AUGGCCUGCAGCGAACGUGUGGGUUCAUCAAUAUUUUCUCCAUGUGUGAGUGUGAUGCUUCGUCGCUCCCACCAAGUAUACCACACGACCACAGAUCCUCCAUCCCUCUCCUGCAUGCACAAGUCAUUCACCAUACCUCAAAGGUCUAGGAUACACAAGAUCUCACACACCCUCGGGCAUAAGAAGAAAGCAUGGCGUAUCCUCUCACAAUCAGUUGUGCACAGAAGACAUCGAGAGGUUGAUUUUAUGACGGUUGGCCAAGACUCCACAGAAGAUUCGCCGCUGAACGACGGUGCUGAUCCCCAACGGCUGCUCAUCCCCUCCCCAACACCGCGCCCGGUGGCAUCCUCGUCUGAUCCGGCGGCAACGGCGAGGCGGUGGAUUUGGGGGCUUGGUCGGCCUCUUGCUCGCCGACGACCAGCAUCUGGUCAACGUGUCUAG